This 307-nucleotide long non-coding RNA is filed under the name Sorghum bicolor (sorghum). Its description in RNAcentral is "long non-coding RNA (SBIC_LNC007910)". The record is from RNAcentral. Lineage: Eukaryota; Viridiplantae; Streptophyta; Magnoliopsida; Poales; Poaceae.
GGGUCAAAAGAUUCGUCUCGUGAUUUACAGGUGUAACACCCAAAAAUUUCCAACUUUUGAAAUAGGUGAAAAAUGAUUUAUUUUUUUUUUGUAUUUUUGUGCUCAUGAAACAUAGGAAAAUAAUAUUUUCUUUAAAAUAAAACUUAUCAUAGAACUUAGUAACUUGAAUGUGCAUUCAUGCUGGAGAAUUUAUUUUGUUGUACUGAGUGAUUUGAUCCCAAAAUACAAAAUGAAUCAAACUGAUUUUAAGAUGGUUUUCAAAUUUUGUUUUGAAAUAGGCUUAAAAAAACAGAACAAAAGAAAAGGG